Non-coding RNA from Candidatus Ryanbacteria bacterium, 72 nucleotides. The record is from Rfam. NCBI's taxonomy places the organism in Bacteria, Candidatus Ryaniibacteriota.
CGGCCCGUAGCUCAACGGUAGAGCAAUCGUCUUAUACACGAUUGGUUGUAGGUUCGAAUCCUACCGGGCCGA